UUCCAGGUAAAUCCGGUUCACUUUAACACUGAGGCGUGACGACGAGGCACCACGGUGCUGAAGCAACAAAUGCCCUGCUUCCAGGAAAAGCCUCUAAGCAUCAGGUAACAUCAAAUCGUACCCCAAACCGACACAGGUGGUCAGGUAGAGAAUACCAAGGCGCUUGAGAGAACUCGGGUGAAGGAACUAGGCAAAAUGGUGCCGUAACUUCGGGAGAAGGCACGCUGACACGUAGGUGAAGUGAUUUACUCACGGAGCUGAAGUCAGUCGAAGAUACCAGCUGGCUGCAACUGUUUAUUAAAAACACAGCACUGUGCAAACACGAAAGUGGACGUAUACGGUGUGACGCCUGCCCGGUGCCGGAAGGUUAAUUGAUGGGGUCAGCGCAAGCGAAGCUCCUGAUCGAAGCCCCGGUAAACGGCGGCCGUAACUAUAACGGUCCUAAGGUAGCGAAAUUCCUUGUCGGGUAAGUUCCGACCUGCACGAAUGGCGUAAUGAUGGCCAGGCUGUCUCCACCCGAGACUCAGUGAAAUUGAACUCGCUGUGAAGAUGCAGUGUACCCGCGGCAAGACGGAAAGACCCCGUGAACCUUUACUAUAGCUUGACACUGAACAUUGAGCCUUGAUGUGUAGGAUAGGUGGGAGGCUUUGAAGCGUGGACGCCAGUCUGCGUGGAGCCGACCUUGAAAUACCACCCUUUAAUGUUUGAUGUUCUAACGUGGACCCGUAAUCCGGGUUGCGGACAGUGUCUGGUGGGUAGUUUGACUGGGGCGGUCUCCUCCUAAAGAGUAACGGAGGAGCACGAAGGUUGGCUAAUCCUGGUCGGACAUCAGGAGGUUAGUGCAAUGGCAUAAGCCAGCUUGACUGCGAGCGUGACGGCGCGAGCAGGUGCGAAAGCAGGUCAUAGUGAUCCGGUGGUUCUGAAUGGAAGGGCCAUCGCUCAACGGAUAAAAGGUACUCCGGGGAUAACAGGCUGAUACCGCCCAAGAGUUCAUAUCGACGGCGGUGUUUGGCACCUCGAUGUCGGCUCAUCACAUCCUGGGGCUGAAGUAGGUCCCAAGGGUAUGGCUGUUCGCCAUUUAAAGUGGUACGCGAGCUGGGUUUAGAACGUCGUGAGACAGUUCGGUCCCUAUCUGCCGUGGGCGCUGGAGAAUUGAGGGGGGCUGCUCCUAGUACGAGAGGACCGGAGUGGACGCAUCACUGGUGUUCGGGUUGUCAUGCCAAUGGCACUGCCCGGUAGCUAAAUGCGGAAAAGAUAAGUGCUGAAAGCAUCUAAGCACGAAACUUGCCCCGAGAUGAGUUCUCCCUGAGACUUUGAGUCUCCUGAAGGAACGUUAAAGACGAUGACGUUGAUAGGCCGGGUGUGUAAGCGCAGCGAUGCGUUGAGCUAACCGGUACUAAUGAACCGUGAGGCUUAACCUUACAACGCCGAAGCUGUU
This 1438-nucleotide ribosomal RNA is filed under the name Salmonella enterica. RNAcentral's name for it is "partial 23S ribosomal RNA". It matches the Rfam family "Bacterial large subunit ribosomal RNA", at positions 1530 to 2925 of the family's 2925-position model. Lineage: Bacteria; Pseudomonadati; Pseudomonadota; Gammaproteobacteria; Enterobacterales; Enterobacteriaceae. The record is from RNAcentral.